GGAAUCUAGAAACCCCAAACUUGUAGCCUAGUAAGAUCUGAUGAACUCCAAGUUUUAGAAUUAGCUGGUAAGCUGGGGGUAGACCCCAAAACUUGUCCUAGUUCCCUGUUCCCUUCAGAAUCCACCCUGAAGGGAAUCUCUGAUUAGUAGUUUCAGACUAAAUAAUAGACUUUAUGUCAAUCCCACUUAGGUGGGGCUAAGCAAAUACUAAAUAGUCUUUUUGUUUUAGGUAGUCUUCCCCAUUGUAUUAGAGACCCUUUCCCAAGAAGACCCACACCUGAGCUAGGACUACCCUUUUAAUAUCCAUUGUAAGCAGCCCCUUCCCUUACACCCUAGCCUCUGGCUAGGAUUCUUUUCCCAAACUUGAUUGUAUUCUGUAAGUAUAGUUUGAAUACUCCCAUUUCCUUGUAACCAUAGUAAUGUCAGUCAAUCAUAUUCCCCUGCCCCUCAGUUUCCAAAAAGGCAUAUAAGUCCCCCAAAUUCUUUUGUUCCUUGGAGUUGUCAGUCUAGUGUGGUUAGUUCUAACAGGGGUCAGUGUCUAGAACAACCAGAGUUUUAAUCUUCAGAAUUCUGCUUGGGUGUUAGCAGGCAUUUCUCCACGGAGGCCUAAUUUUGCAUGGAACUCCUUUCCCUAAUUAAAGAGUGGCUUUUUCUGACUAUUUAAUAGUUCUGUGUUUUUUCCAAGUUAACAUAUAGUACCCCAGAUGGGACUCCGAAAUCCCAACUGCCUGAGCCGCCCUGCUAACAAGGAGAUCAGGACGCAAGGCACCCACACAACCCAUUUGGAGUUGAGUCAGGAUUCCAGCUAGCAGAGUAGCCAGAUGUUUUCCUUUCAGGUACCCAACCAAAAGGCAGAAGGAGAGAAGGUGUUAUUUUUGCAAAAAGCCUGGACACCUGAAGAGAGAUUGCAGGUAGCUGCUAAGCAAGAUGAAAUGGUGCCAGGGUGAAAAUUCCCCUCAGCAUGGAGGAUCACAAAGGAAUACCAGAGGUGUAUGUAAAGAAUUUCUAGCAUUUUGGAGCAACUCAGCCUGCCUGGGAAGGUCCAUUUCAAGUACUGUUUACCACUGCAACAGCUAUAAAAUUUGAAGAAAAGGAUUCUUGGAUUCAAUGCUCACAUGUAAAGAGAGUACCUUCUAUUGAAACUGAUUGACUGUAUCUUGUCACAGGCAUUGGAGAUAAAAGGCCAUAGACAAGUGGACACUGUUUCUGGGAAUACACUGAAUUACUGAAUUUUUUUAUUUUCAAUAGAAUAUUUGAAUUUUUUUCUUCCCCUUUCUUAUUUCUUGGACUUAAAGUACAUAUAAUCAAUAUUAAUCUUUUUCUGAUUUUGCAGUAAUAUAAAAUUUAAAAAUAUAUUUAUUCUAAUAUUAAUGCAUACCCAAAAGCUUUAAACUAUUGAAACCUGCCAUUUAUUGAUAAAUGUUAUGGGACUGUGAUGAAUGAUUGUGUCUGAUUCCAGGAGAAGGGAUCAUAAAGAGCCACUGCAGUGCCAGGAAGAGGACAAAGAGCAAUCUGCACAGUGCCUAUGAGCACAGUCACACAUUUGGACAAGUACCAAAGUUUGGCUACCAUCCUGGCUCCCCUAUCCCUGAGUGUGGAGGUUAAAUCAGAUAGGGAAACACAUUUUACUUUUACACAAAAAUCUAGUCCUUUUUUCCCUCUUAAAGUAUGACAACUUCCUGUAGUCCUGGCUGCCAAUGGGUAAGUGUAAUAUCACUGCAUUUGUCUUACAGACUUGUGGGACAGAAAUUACUUUAAUUGAACCCUGAUUUAAGAAGCUGUUAUGGAUUUAUUCUUGUUUACUCAGAAAUUUUCCCUACAUAAAUUUUGAUUUUUUUUAACCAAAAUUUAGUUUUUCUCUUUUAUUUGGGUUUUUUUAUGUUUUCGGUUUUUCUUUUGAUAAUUAACUCAUACACCCCAUAACUCAACCAUGCAUCCUAAGUUUAUCUGGGUGUUGGUCAACACCCUUCACAGGGGGGUAUUGUAUAUUUUUCAUAAAAUCCACAAUUUAAAAUUUUGUUUCAGAAAAAUUUCAGGGAAAGAAGUAUGCUAACUCUUUGAAUCCAGAAAAUGAAGUGUUUGGAGA
Molecule: long non-coding RNA, 2086 nt
Filed under: Monodelphis domestica (gray short-tailed opossum)
Lineage: Eukaryota; Metazoa; Chordata; Mammalia; Didelphimorphia; Didelphidae
Description: lncRNA (ENSMODG00000036803.1)
Source: RNAcentral